Molecule: small nucleolar RNA, 184 nt
Filed under: Echeneis naucrates (live sharksucker)
Lineage: Eukaryota; Metazoa; Chordata; Actinopteri; Carangiformes; Echeneidae
Description: Small nucleolar RNA SNORA81 (ENSENLG00000004588.1)
Rfam family: Small nucleolar RNA SNORA81
Source: Rfam by way of RNAcentral
UUCUUCUUUCUAAAGCACCCUGCUAAAACUACAGGAGUCAAGCCUUUGAGGCAUAGCUCGUGUGGUCAUGUAAGCAUGGGUACACAAGAGAAGGAGAUUAAAAGCAUAGCAUUGGAAAUGAGGCUUGGAGGGACCUCUUUCUUAAUGUCCAGUGUCCUUUGUCUCGAGAUCCUGUGUUACAUUG